This 450-nucleotide ribosomal RNA is filed under the name uncultured bacterium. RNAcentral's name for it is "partial 16S ribosomal RNA". It matches the Rfam family "Bacterial small subunit ribosomal RNA", at positions 354 to 796 of the family's 1533-position model. The record is from RNAcentral.
GUAGGGAAUCUUCGGCAAUGGGGGCAACCCUGACCGAGCAACGCCGCGUGAGUGAAGAAGGUUUUCGGAUCGUAAAGCUCUGUUGUAAGAGAAGAACGUGUGUGAGAGUGGAAAGUUCACACAGUGACGGUAACUUACCAGAAAGGGACGGCUAACUACGUGCCAGCAGCCGCGGUAAUACGUAGGUCCCGAGCGUUGUCCGGAUUUAUUGGGCGUAAAGCGAGCGCAGGCGGUUUAAUAAGUCUGAAGUUAAAGGCAGUGGCUUAACCAUUGUUCGCUUUGGAAACUGUUAAACUUGAGUGCAGGAGGGGAGAGUGGAAUUCCAUGUGUAGCGGUGAAAUGCGUAGAUAUAUGGAGGAACACCGGUGGCGAAAGCGGCUCUCUGGUCUGUAACUGACGCUGAGGCUCGAAAGCGUGGGGAGCAAACAGGAUUAGAAACCCCUGUAGUCC